Molecule: long non-coding RNA, 1366 nt
Organism: Vigna radiata var. radiata (mung bean)
Lineage: Eukaryota; Viridiplantae; Streptophyta; Magnoliopsida; Fabales; Fabaceae
Exons: 2
Source: RefSeq, a predicted model, not a curated record
UAUUCUCUUAUGUCUUUCUUUUGUUAAUAUUCUUUACUUUUUAUGAAUGUAUAGAUAUGUUGUUCAGGGAUAUUGCUGUUAAGAGUAAAGAUACUCAAGAUGAGCUCUUGUAUAGGAUUUCCCGGGAUGAUUAUGUGAUGUAUGUCGUUCAGGAGUGAUACUAUGCUGUAAAAUUCAUUUUGACAUCAAUACUAGUUGAUGUGGGAAGGAAGUGAUUGGGUUGUUUUGGGGCUGAUGUGCACAAUUGGGCUGAUUUCAGGAUUGGACCUUGAUCUUUUGAGGGUGCUUGAAUCUGAAAGUUGAGGUAACCUGUUUUAGAUGAUAUAGAAUACAGGGAAGUGUGUUUUGAAUAAUUGGGAUUGAUUUGGUUUCUGAAUUGAACCAUGCAAUUUAAUUACAUCUGCAUUAGAUGUCAAGGACCCCAAAACCUUUUUAGGAUGACUUACUGAAUACAUGGCUCAGUUUAGAAACUCAAAUGACAUCUAAUUGUAAAUCUAUGCUUGUCUUUUACUCUGUUUUGUUUCAGUUUUAUAGAUUCUUUCUUUCACUGCUUGUUUAAUUAGGUUUAGCAUUUAGGUUUAGUUGCAUCAUUUAGAUAUUGCAUUUAUACUCUUUAGGUUCUGUUAUUAGGUUGUAUAAUAAUGUUCAUUAGUUUAGGACCAUUUUAGUUGCAUUAAGUCAUCAUUUUGUUUAGGUUUCUUUAGCUUAGUAGAUAUUAUUUGAUUAUGUAUCCCUUUUAAUUUCAUUUCUUUUCCCCCACGGGGCCUUAGUAGAUAAUUAGUAAAUAAAUAGUAGGACUUUACUCUACAUUUUUAAAACUUAAAUUAGUCGAGUUUUUGGAUUGAUUGUUGUAAACCCUAAACUCCAUUAGUGGGGUUAGGUUUUGUUGACUUUUUGUGCGGCCAAAAACCUUUUAACAAAUGACACCGUUGUUGGGGACUUUGCGAAUUAGGUUUAGGAGUGUAGAGUUAUUCCUUGCAUUCAUAUAGCUUGUAUAGUUUUUAUUUUCUUUCAUAGGUUUUUGCUUGAGUUUUGUAAUUGAGGUCUUAGUGGUCCGAUUCGUGUUCUUCUACGUAUGAUAAUUGUUCCUUUUUAUAUAAUGCUCAACUCCAAGGUUUUAACUUGUUCUGUGAGUCUUUUAUUGAGUAUCCUUUGCAGCAACUACCACCAUAUUUUCAACCAAUUUGUGACCAGCCAUCCUGUCCUGUGCAGCAGCAGCUGCUACCUUCAUAUUGGGUUGGACCGGAGAGGGAGAAUUUUCAGUCAUUGCAGCUGUGGCAGGAUCAAUUUUGUGAUCAGUGGCAGCAGGAUUCCAACAUUAUUAUUAUUAUUAUUAUUAUUAUUAAUAUUACUAUUAGUAGUAUUA